RNAcentral lists this unclassified non-coding RNA (289 nucleotides) under plant metagenome. RNAcentral's name for it is "partial contains small subunit ribosomal RNA, internal transcribed spacer 1, and 5.8S ribosomal RNA". The record is from RNAcentral.
UUUCCGUAGGUGAACCUGCGGAAGGAUCAUUAAUGAGUUGUCAUGGGGUUCGAUGCUGGCAGCCAGUUUUUGGAUGCAUGUGCUUGCCCUAACAAUCAUCUUCUUCCAAACACCUGUGCACAUUUUUGAGGGAGUCUUGAGUUGGUUGCCGCUCUUGGGUGAUUUUCUCACAUUCCCUUAAAUCAUUAUACGCUAUUAACAAUGUUGAACGUGCUCUGUGCCGCAAGGCCAUUAAUAUAAUACAACUUUUAACAACGGAUCUCUUGGCUCUCGCAUCGAAGAACGCAGC